GCCGGGUCCUCGCGGAUUUGUCUUCUUAUUUUCGUUGGAGGGUUUUGACCUUUCUAUGUGUGAGAAACUGGAUGAGAGCAACUCCAGAAACAAAGUUUUGGAACUAACAUCCAGUCGUUCUCGUUAGUAAUUCCUUCGAUUCGUCACAAUGAGGGCACUGCACAGCCAAAGAAAAGAAGCAGAUACGGUCAAGAAAAAGUUUCUCAGCUUGAGAACUGGAAUGCUAUUCAUGAUGGAAUGUUCACUAGUUUCCAAGAGUCGCUUGUUCCUGGUAUGAACUGUGGAGCGUGCAGUGUUCCAUUGUUAUCCGUGUAUCGAUGUGAUGACUGUUAUGUUGGCUUCUUUCUUUGCGGCAGCUGUGUUGAAGAAGUGCAUAAACACACAUUGUUUCACCAACCAUACAAAUGGCAGGACGAUAUCAUCGAUUGAAUUUCCAGUUUUGCCUCUGUGAACCAGAGUCUGUUACCCUGAUACUUCAUCACCUGUGGCCUUCGUCUCCAAAGAAACCACGCAUGUGUUUUCAUUUCCACUUCAUGGAUUUGCUGCGGGUAAUAUCUUAUAGUAUCUUCAAGGAACAAUUCUUAUCAUGGACUUCUGUAAAGC
Long non-coding RNA from Lineus longissimus, 603 nucleotides. RefSeq lists it as uncharacterized. The record is from RefSeq and is a predicted model, not a curated record. The transcript is spliced from 3 exons. Lineage: Eukaryota; Metazoa; Nemertea; Pilidiophora; Heteronemertea; Lineidae.